This 253-nucleotide ribosomal RNA is filed under the name uncultured bacterium. RNAcentral's name for it is "partial 16S ribosomal RNA". It matches the Rfam family "Bacterial small subunit ribosomal RNA", at positions 524 to 776 of the family's 1533-position model. The record is from RNAcentral.
UACGUAGGGUGCAAGCGUUGUCCGGAAUUACUGGGCGUAAAGAGCUCGUAGGUGGUUUGUCGCGUUGUUCGUGAAAACUCACAGCUUAACUGUGGGCGUGCGGGCGAUACGGGCAGACUUGAGUACUGCAGGGGAGACUGGAAUUCCUGGUGUAGCGGUGGAAUGCGCAGAUAUCAGGAGGAACACCGGUGGCGAAGGCGGGUCUCUGGGCCAUUACUGACGCUGAGGAGCGAAAGCGUGGGGAGCGAACAGG